CCUACGGGCGGCAGCAGUGAGGAAUAUUGGUCAAUGGGCGCGAGCCUGAACCAGCCAAGUAGCGUGAAUGAUGACUGCCCUACGGUUUGUAAACUUCUUUUAUAAAGGGAUAAGGUGAGGCACGUGUACCUUUUGGAAUUUACUUUAUGAAUAAGGAUCGGCUAACUCCGUGCCAGAAGCCGCGGUAAUACGGAGGAUCCGAGCGUUAUCCGGAUUUAUUGGGUGGAAAGGGAGCGUAGAUGGGUUGUUAAGUCAGUUGUGAAAGUUUGCGGCUCAACCGUAAAAUUGCAAUUGAUACUGGCAGUCUUGAGUACCGUUGAGGUAGGUAGAAUUCGAGGUGUAGCGGUGAAAUGCGUAGAUAUCACGAAGAACUCCGAUUGCGAAGGCGGCUCACUGAACGGCGACUGACAUUGAUGCGCGAAAGUGUGGGUAUCAAACAGGAUUAGAUACCCGUGUAGUC
Molecule: ribosomal RNA, 460 nt
Filed under: uncultured bacterium
Lineage: Bacteria
Description: partial 16S ribosomal RNA
Rfam family: Bacterial small subunit ribosomal RNA
Source: RNAcentral